AGACACAUAAGGUUCAGCACACCGACGACGGAAUCGACGACGAGCGGCGGUGGAAACGGCAGAGCAAGGACGACACAGCGAAUCCCAAACCUCAGUGCUGAAACAACGACGACAUCUCCGUCUCUGGACGCGCAAAGCUUGACCUUCUCCAAAUCGUGGCGCAUCAAGCGAAGCAACACCAAUUCGCAACUCAAAACCAUCGUCGAACCUACCUUCUUGCUUCACCAAUUUAAACAGUAAAAUCUAAAUGUGGAGGUUGAAUCGGAAAACUCACAAAAUAGGUAUCGCAUAUUUCCGCUCUGAUUUUCGCUCGAUCCUUCUUCUUGAGCUCUUCUGAGAGGGCUUUGCGUCAUUGUUGUUCGAUGCGGAAUGGAGAACGUGAUUCGUUUCCGUACGGUGCAGGUUAUGGUUUGUUGAGGAUGGCACCGGUGCUUUGCACUUCCGUUGAGGACAGAUGAUGAAGGGCGAACUGUUCUUCUGGAGAAGGAUGCUAACCGGUGAGAACUCAGUUCCUGUUUUUGAUUCUUCCUUUCUCAAUCAGCUUCUUCUUCUCUCUCAGCUCUUUAACUUUCCAUUUUUCUGUCACGAGCUUUAUUAUGAGUUCGUUAGAUACUGUUGGAGCAGGGUGGUUAUGGAGUUAAAAGGUGGAUAGAUGAUUCGAAUUAGGUUGAAGGUGAAGGGAGUGAAGGAGUCAGAAAUGAGGUUGAAGGUGGAGGAAGGUUCGGUGAAUGGAGAUUACGGUUAUGGAUUCGCAGUGGUUGAAGGUUUGGCGACUAGAGAUUACGGUUAUGGAGGUUGUAAGAAGAAGAAGAAUCUGGAAGGGGUCUUGAGAGAGGUGAAGAUUUGUGAAUUUUAUAGAGUGAUGAGAGUGAGAUUAGAAGUUAGGAAGUUUGUUAGAUUUGUCAUUGGAUUGUAAAAUUAUGCAGGUUGUUAUUUAUGCAGUGAAUUUGUCAUUGAAAUGGAUUACAUCGCCGGCUUAAUUGGCUUGUGUGUACUAAUAAUAGAUAAGAAUAAGUUGUUCCAA
Long non-coding RNA from Lathyrus oleraceus (garden pea), 1024 nucleotides. RefSeq lists it as uncharacterized. Lineage: Eukaryota; Viridiplantae; Streptophyta; Magnoliopsida; Fabales; Fabaceae. The transcript has 2 exons. The record is from RefSeq and is a predicted model, not a curated record.